GACGAACGCUGGCGGCAUGCCUAACACAUGCAAGUCGAACGGUAAGGCUUCCUUCGGGAAGUACACGAGUGGCGAACGGGUGAGUAACACGUGGGUAACCUACCCUUGACUGGGGGACAACCGAGGGAAACUUCGGCUAAUACCGCAUAACGUGCAUUGCCUCAAGGUGGUGUACCAAAGCUCCGGCGGUUAAGGAUGGGCCCGCGGCAGAUUAGCUUGUUGGUGAGGUAACGGCUUACCAAGGCGACGAUCUGUAGCUGGUCUGAGAGGACGAUCAGCCACACUGGAACUGAGACACGGUCCAGACUCCUACGGGAGGCAGCAGUGGGGAAUCUUGCGCAAUGGGCGAAAGCCUGACGCAGCGACGCCGCGUGCGGGAUGAAGGCCUUCGGGUCGUAAACCGCUGUUAGGAGGAGCGAAGGCUUAGUGGGUGAACAAUCCAUGGAGCUUGACGGUACCUCCAAAGAAAGCCACGGCUAACUCCGUGCCAGCCGCCGCCGUAA
This 503-nucleotide ribosomal RNA is filed under the name uncultured bacterium. Its description in RNAcentral is "partial 16S ribosomal RNA". It matches the Rfam family "Bacterial small subunit ribosomal RNA", at positions 28 to 523 of the family's 1533-position model. The record is from RNAcentral.